This 515-nucleotide ribosomal RNA is filed under the name uncultured bacterium. RNAcentral describes it as "partial 16S ribosomal RNA". It matches the Rfam family "Bacterial small subunit ribosomal RNA", at positions 28 to 523 of the family's 1533-position model. The record is from RNAcentral.
GACGAACGCUGGCGGCGUGCCUAAUACAUGCAAGUCGAGCGAAUGGAUUAAGAGCUUGCUCUUAUGAGGUUAGCGGCGGACGGGUGAGUAACACGUGGGUAACCUGCCCAUAAGACUGGGAUAACUCCGGGAAACCGGGGCUAAUACCGGAUAACAUUUUGAACCGCAUGGUUCGAAAUUGAAAGGCGGCUUCGGCUGUCACUUAUGGAUGGACCCGCGUCGCAUUAGCUAGUUGGUGAGGUAACGGCUCACCAAGGCAACGAUGCGUAGCCGACCUGAGAGGGUGAUCGGCCACACUGGGACUGAGACACGGCCCGGACUCCUACGGGAGGCAGCAGUAGGGAAUCUUCCGCAAUGGACGAAAGUCUGACGGAGCAACGCCGCGUGAGUGAUGAAGGCUUUCGGGUCGUAAAACUCUGUUGUUAGGGAAGAACAAGUGCUAGUUGAAUAAGCUGGCACCUUGACGGUACCUAACCAGAAAGCCACGGCUAACUACGUGCCAGCAGCCGCCGUAA